GACGAACGCUGGCGGCGUGCCUAAUACAUGCAAGUAGAACGCUGAAGGAGGAGCUUGCUUCUCUGGAUGAGUUGCGAACGGGUGAGUAACGCGUAGGUAACCUGCCUGGUAGCGGGGGAUAACUAUUGGAAACGAUAGCUAAUACCGCAUAAUAUUGACUGUUGCAUGAUAGUCAGUUGAAAGGUGCAACUGCACCACUACCAGAUGGACCUGCGUUGUAUUAGCUAGUUGGUGGGGUAACGGCUCACCAAGGCGACGAGACAUAGCCGACCUGAGAGGGGGAUCGGCCACGCUGGGAUUGAGACACGGCCCAGACGACUACGGGAGGCAGCAGUAGGGAACCCUCGGCAAUGGAAGGAAGUCUGACCGAGCAACGCCGCGUGAGUGAAGAAGGGUGUCGGAUCGUAAAGCUCUGUUGUAAGAGAAGAACGAGUGUGAGAGUGGAAAGCUCACACUGUGACGGUAACUUACCAGAAAGGGACGGCUAACUACGUG
This 495-nucleotide ribosomal RNA is filed under the name uncultured bacterium. RNAcentral's name for it is "partial 16S ribosomal RNA". It matches the Rfam family "Bacterial small subunit ribosomal RNA", at positions 28 to 507 of the family's 1533-position model. The record is from RNAcentral.